UUAAAGCCAAUGUGUUGGGAAUCAACCUUAAUGUCCCUCUUUCCCUUAGCUUGUUGCUCAACAACUGUGGAAAAUAUGCACCCAAGAACUUCCAAUGCGCAUAAGCCAUUUGGUUUUCUUUUUUCCUCCAAUAUUUCGAAAAUUUCCACUUAAUUAAUGUUUCCUUCAGUGUUAUUGGUAAUUUUUAUGCUUAUGGUUCUUAUUGCUCAGGGAGAUAUAUUGUAUUCUAAAAGGUUAGAAGGAAGGCUCGUUGCCUUGUUUUCGAUAUGCACUGUAUCCAAUUUAAUUUGCAUUUGAAAUAAAUUUGAAAUCUACUAAGGUGUUUUA
Molecule: long non-coding RNA, 327 nt
Filed under: Nicotiana benthamiana
Lineage: Eukaryota; Viridiplantae; Streptophyta; Magnoliopsida; Solanales; Solanaceae
Description: long non-coding RNA (NBEN_LNC001892)
Source: RNAcentral